GAUGGAGAUGUUGUACAAUACCAUUGCAGUUUCCUUUGCAGUCGUCAUAGUUUCAACAUUGGUAUGCAAAAUCCUGAAUUGGGUGUGGUUUAGACCAAAGAGGGUAGAAAAGGUGCUUAGACAGCAAGGCUUUUCUGGCAACUCUUACAAGCUUUUGAUCGGAGACUUGAUACAAGUAGUGGCUCACUCCUUCAUGGAAGCAAACCGCAGUGAACCUUUGGACAAUCUCUCCAAUCACAUCUCCCCUCGCAUCCUCCCCUUCUUGUAUAAAACCAUCACCGCCCAUGGCAAGAAGUCGUUUCUGUGGCUUGGACCAAAACCAGCCGUGUUAAUCUUGGAGCCUGAAAUGAUAAAGGAGAUACUCGCAAAUUAUCAGGAUUUUGAAAGGCCAAAAAACCCGGCAAUGAUGGAGAUGGUACGAGGAUUAGUUGUCUGUGAAGCAAGCAGAUGGUCAAUGUAUAGAAGGAUCAUCAAUCCAGCUUUUCACGUGGAGAAGUUGAAGGCUAUGGUGCCUGCAUUCUAUGCAACUAGUCGUGAGAUGAUAGAAAAACUGGACAACAUCGUAAAGGCAGAGGGGUCGGAGGUGGACUUAUGGCCGUACGUUGACAUCUUAACCAGCGAUGCAAUUGCAAGAGUUGCUUUUGGGAGCAACUUUGAAGAAGGAAGAAACAUAUUUGACAAACUUUCUAAGCUCACCAAGCUUGUCACUGGGCUUGGACCAUUUCUAUUCGUCCCACAAUAUUGGAGUUUGCCAACUAAAAUGAAGUGGAAGAUACAAGAGACAUCGAGGGAAGUGAGAGCAUUGGUACGAGGAGUUGUGGAGAAGAGGAUGAAGGAGAUGAUGAUGAGAGGAGAGGAAGCUGUUGCUGCUGGCACAUGUACAACAUCAUCCUCAGAUCUAUUAGGCAUUUUGUUAGAAUCAAACCUUAAUGAAAUCGAAAGUGGAAACACGAACAAGGGAUUGAGUGACGAUGAUGUGAUAGAAGAGUGCAAGCUGUUCUAUCUUGCAGGCCAAGAAUCAUCCACAAACUUGAUUGCAUGAACCUUAAUAUUAUUGGGUAAACACUUGGAGUGGCAACAACGAGUUAGGGAUGAAGUAAUCCAAGUCUAUGGAUCCGCCACCAUCCAACCUUACAACUUCCACAAGUUGAAUCAACUCAAAAUCAUGAACAUGGUAUUUCUCGAAGUUUUGAGGUUGUAUCCGCCACUUCCGGUCCUUUAUCGCGUGACGAAUGCAGAUUCAAAAUUAGGGAACAUCACGUUACCAGCAGGGGUGGAUGUGAUAGUGCCAUUGCUUUCAUUACACGUGGACAAAGAUUUGUGGGGUGAUGAUUCAUUAGAGUUUAACCCAGAAAGGUUCAAAGAUGGGAUUGUAAAGGCGUCCAAGAUUCCUGCAGGAGCUUAUUAUCCAUUUGGUGGUGGGCCACGAGUAUGCAUGGGACAAAAUUUUGCAUUGGUUGAAGUGAAGGUCACCGUGGCGGCAAUCCUACAAAGCUUUAGCGUUGAGCUUGCUUCUUCUUAUAAGCACUCUCCUCAGUGGAAUAUACUUAUUCAUCCUCACCAUGUCAAUUUGGUAUUACACAAGUUAUAAAUUCUUAG
RNA transcript from Ipomoea nil (Japanese morning glory), 1599 nucleotides. It is a transcript of the gene named cytochrome P450 CYP72A219-like, with no coding region annotated. The record is from RefSeq and is a predicted model, not a curated record. The transcript is spliced from 5 exons. Lineage: Eukaryota; Viridiplantae; Streptophyta; Magnoliopsida; Solanales; Convolvulaceae.